RNAcentral lists this ribosomal RNA (253 nucleotides) under uncultured bacterium. RNAcentral's name for it is "partial 16S ribosomal RNA". It matches the Rfam family "Bacterial small subunit ribosomal RNA", at positions 524 to 776 of the family's 1533-position model. The record is from RNAcentral.
UACAGAGACUGCGAGCGUUGUUCGGAAUUACUGGGCGUAAAGGGCGCGUAGGCGGCCCGCUAAGUCGAACGUGAAAUCCCCGAGCUCAACUCGGGAACUGCGUCCGAUACUGGCGGGCUUGAAUCCGGGAGAGGGAUGCGGAAUUCCAGGUGUAGCGGUGAAAUGCGUAGAUAUCUGGAGGAACACCGGUGGCGAAGGCGGCAUCCUGGACCGGCAUUGACGCUGAGGCGCGAAAGCUAGGGGAGCAAACGGG